This 269-nucleotide ribosomal RNA is filed under the name uncultured bacterium. RNAcentral describes it as "partial 16S ribosomal RNA". It matches the Rfam family "Bacterial small subunit ribosomal RNA", at positions 355 to 616 of the family's 1533-position model. The record is from RNAcentral.
UAGGGAAUCUUCCGCAAUGGACGCAAGUCUGAUGGAGCAACGCCGCGUGAGUGAAGAAGGCUUUCGGGUCGUAAAACUCUGUUGUUGGAGAAGAAUGGUCGGCAGAGUAACUGUUGUCGGCGUGACGGUAUCCAACCAGAAAGCCACGGCUAACUACGUGCCAGCAGCCGCGGUAAUACGUAGGUGGCAAGCGUUAUCCGGAUUUAUUGGGCGUAAAGCGAGCGCAGGCGGUUUUUUAAGUCUGAUGUGAAAGCCCUCGGCUUAACCGA